AGCGUAGGCGGACAGUUAAGUCAGAGGUGAAAGCCCAGGGCUCAACCCUGGAAUUGCCUUUGAUACUGAUUGUCUUGAGUAUGGGAGAGGUAUGCGGAACUCCGAGUGUAGAGGUGAAAUUCGUAGAUAUUCGGAAGAACACCAGUGGCGAAGGCGGCAUACUGGCCCAUUACUGACGCUGAGGCUCGAAAGCGUGGGAGGCAAACA
Molecule: ribosomal RNA, 207 nt
Filed under: uncultured bacterium
Lineage: Bacteria
Description: partial 16S ribosomal RNA
Rfam family: Bacterial small subunit ribosomal RNA
Source: RNAcentral